GCUGGCGGCGUGCUUAACACAUGCAAGUCGAACGGAAAGCCCCUUUCGGGUGACUCGAGUGGCGAACGGGUGAGUAACACGUGGGUGAUCUGCCCUGCACUUUGGGAUAAGCCUGGGAAACUGGGUCUAAUACCGGAUAGGACUACGCGAUGCAUGUCGUGUGGUGGAAAGCUUUUGCGGUGUGGGAUGGGCCCGCGGCCUAUCAGCUUGUUGGUGGGGUGAUGGCCUACCAAGGCGACGACGGGUAGCCGGCCUGAGAGGGUGUCCGGCCACACUGGGACUGAGAUACGGCCCAGACUCCUACGGGAGGCAGCAGUGGGGAAUAUUGCACAAUGGGCGCAAGCCUGAUGCAGCGACGCCGCGUGAGGGAUGACGGCCUUCGGGUUGUAAACCUCUUUCAGCAUCGACGAAGCGCAAGUGACGGU
RNAcentral lists this ribosomal RNA (425 nucleotides) under uncultured soil bacterium. RNAcentral's name for it is "bacterial SSU rRNA". It matches the Rfam family "Bacterial small subunit ribosomal RNA", at positions 35 to 476 of the family's 1533-position model. The record is from RNAcentral.